RNAcentral lists this ribosomal RNA (1572 nucleotides) under Salmonella enterica. Its description in RNAcentral is "partial 23S ribosomal RNA". It matches the Rfam family "Bacterial large subunit ribosomal RNA", at positions 1387 to 2925 of the family's 2925-position model. Lineage: Bacteria; Pseudomonadati; Pseudomonadota; Gammaproteobacteria; Enterobacterales; Enterobacteriaceae. The record is from RNAcentral.
ACCCCUAAGGCGAGGCCGAAAGGCGUAGUCGAUGGGAAACGGGUUAAUAUUCCCGUACUUGGUGUUACUGCGAAGGGGGGACGGAGAAGGCUAUGUUGGCCGGGCGACGGUUGUCCCGGUUUAAGCGUGUAGGUGUGUGUUCCAGGUAAAUCCGGUUCACUUUAACACUGAGGCGUGACGACGAGGCACUACGGUGCUGAAGCAACAAAUGCCCUGCUUCCAGGAAAAGCCUCUAAGCAUCAGGUAACAUCAAAUCGUACCCCAAACCGACACAGGUGGUCAGGUAGAGAAUACCAAGGCGCUUGAGAGAACUCGGGUGAAGGAACUAGGCAAAAUGGUGCCGUAACUUCGGGAGAAGGCACGCUGACACGUAGGUGAAGUGAUUUACUCAUGGAGCUGAAGUCAGUCGAAGAUACCAGCUGGCUGCAACUGUUUAUUAAAAACACAGCACUGUGCAAACACGAAAGUGGACGUAUACGGUGUGACGCCUGCCCGGUGCCGGAAGGUUAAUUGAUGGGGUCAGCGCAAGCGAAGCUCCUGAUCGAAGCCCCGGUAAACGGCGGCCGUAACUAUAACGGUCCUAAGGUAGCGAAAUUCCUUGUCGGGUAAGUUCCGACCUGCACGAAUGGCGUAAUGAUGGCCAGGCUGUCUCCACCCGAGACUCAGUGAAAUUGAACUCGCUGUGAAGAUGCAGUGUACCCGCGGCAAGACGGAAAGACCCCGUGAACCUUUACUAUAGCUUGACACUGAACAUUGAGCCUUGAUGUGUAGGAUAGGUGGGAGGCUUUGAAGCGUGGACGCCAGUCUGCGUGGAGCCGACCUUGAAAUACCACCCUUUAAUGUUUGAUGUUCUAACGUGGACCCGUGAUCCGGGUUGCGGACAGUGUCUGGUGGGUAGUUUGACUGGGGCGGUCUCCUCCUAAAGAGUAACGGAGGAGCACGAAGGUUGGCUAAUCCUGGUCGGACAUCAGGAGGUUAGUGCAAUGGCAUAAGCCAGCUUGACUGCGAGCGUGACGGCGCGAGCAGGUGCGAAAGCAGGUCAUAGUGAUCCGGUGGUUCUGAAUGGAAGGGCCAUCGCUCAACGGAUAAAAGGUACUCCGGGGAUAACAGGCUGAUACCGCCCAAGAGUUCAUAUCGACGGCGGUGUUUGGCACCUCGAUGUCGGCUCAUCACAUCCUGGGGCUGAAGUAGGUCCCAAGGGUAUGGCUGUUCGCCAUUUAAAGUGGUACGCGAGCUGGGUUUAGAACGUCGUGAGACAGUUCGGUCCCUAUCUGCCGUGGGCGCUGGAGAACUGAGGGGGGCUGCUCCUAGUACGAGAGGACCGGAGUGGACGCAUCACUGGUGUUCGGGUUGUCAUGCCAAUGGCACUGCCCGGUAGCUAAAUGCGGAAGAGAUAAGUGCUGAAAGCAUCUAAGCACGAAACUUGCCCCGAGAUGAGUUCUCCCUGAGACUUAGAGUCUCCUGAAGGAACGUUGAAGACGACGACGUUGAUAGGCCGGGUGUGUAAGCGCAGCGAUGCGUUGAGCUAACCGGUACUAAUGAACCGUGAGGCUUAACCUUACAACGCCGAAG